UACGGAGGGAGCUAGCGUUAUUCGGAAUUACUGGGCGUAAAGCGCACGUAGGCGGCUUUGUAAGUAAGAGGUGAAAGCCCAGAGCUCAACUCUGGAAUUGCCUUUUAGACUGCAUCGCUUGAAUCAUGGAGAGGUCAGUGGAAUUCCGAGUGUAGAGGUGAAAUUCGUAGAUAUUCGGAAGAACACCAGUGGCGAAGGCGGCUGACUGGACAUGUAUUGACGCUGAGGUGACGAAAGCGUGGGGAGCAAACAGG
RNAcentral lists this ribosomal RNA (254 nucleotides) under uncultured bacterium. RNAcentral's name for it is "partial 16S ribosomal RNA". It matches the Rfam family "Bacterial small subunit ribosomal RNA", at positions 524 to 776 of the family's 1533-position model. The record is from RNAcentral.